AUGAUGAUGAUGAUGGUGAUGAUGAUGGUGGUGAUGAUGAUGGUGGUGAUGAUGAUGGUGGUGAUGAUGAUGGUGAUGAUGAUGGUGAUGAUGAUGGUGAUGGCGUAACCAACUUUGUGGGUAACAGCCAUUUCCUUCCCUUCAAAAUAGACUACCCUUCUUCAUAGCAGCGUAACCGAAUACGCUUACAAUCAAAUGAAAAGGGGUAUUUUAGACAAUACAUCGUUCAUCCCUCCAAAUUUUCGCAAAUAUGACGCUACAAUACAUAAAUCCCCCGCUAUUACCUUCAAAUCAUCGCUUCCAAUACAUCACAAGUGAACACACUUUACACUUUUUUUAUUCAUCGCUCACUGCCAAGCUUGAACAGUAAAUUACCUUCAAAUGAACACACCCUCAAAGUUGCC
This 404-nucleotide long non-coding RNA is filed under the name Vigna radiata. RNAcentral describes it as "long non-coding RNA (VRAD_LNC004128)". The record is from RNAcentral. Lineage: Eukaryota; Viridiplantae; Streptophyta; Magnoliopsida; Fabales; Fabaceae.